Molecule: microRNA precursor, 168 nt
Filed under: Pelobates cultripes (western spadefoot toad)
Lineage: Eukaryota; Metazoa; Chordata; Amphibia; Anura; Pelobatidae
Source: RNAcentral
GCAGACAAAUUCCAGCCAAUCAGCAGCAGACCCUCCCUCCCAGACCCUCCCACCUCCUGGACAGCAUCCAUUUUACAUUCAUUGUGAAGCUGCAUUCUUAGUGAGCUGUCCAGGAGGUGGGAGGGUCUGGGAGGGAGGGUCUGCUGCUGAUUGGCUGGAAUGUGUCUG